CAAGUCGAACGAGACUUCGGUCUAGUGGCGGACGGGUGAGUAACGCGUAGGAACCUGCCAAGCAGUGGGGAAUAACAGCUGGAAACGGCUGCUAAUACCGCAUACGCCCUUCGGGGGAAAGAUUUAUCGCUGUUUGAGGGUCCUGCGUUCGAUUAGCUAGUUGGUGAGGUAACGGCCCACCAAGGCGACGAUCGAUAGCUGGUCUGAGAGGAUGAUCAGCCACACUGGAACUGAGACACGGUCCAGACUCC
Molecule: ribosomal RNA, 251 nt
Filed under: uncultured bacterium
Lineage: Bacteria
Description: partial 16S ribosomal RNA
Rfam family: Bacterial small subunit ribosomal RNA
Source: RNAcentral